Molecule: ribosomal RNA, 376 nt
Filed under: Methanoculleus palmolei
Lineage: Archaea; Methanobacteriati; Methanobacteriota; Methanomicrobia; Methanomicrobiales; Methanomicrobiaceae
Description: partial 16S ribosomal RNA
Source: RNAcentral
GAUUACUACGGAUUCCAGCUUCAUGUGGGCGAGUUGCAGCCCACAAUCCGAACUAAGGGUGGGUUUAGGAGAUUGCCUUCACCUUUCGGUGUCAUACCCAUUGUCCCACCCAUUGUAGCCCGCGUGUAGCCCGGAUAAUUCGGGGCAUGCUGACCUACCGUUGCCCAUUCCUUCCUCCUCUUUAGCAGAGGCGGUCCCAACAGUGUCCCCUCCAUCCCGGAGGACGAGCUGGCAACUGUUGGCGUGGGUCUCGCUCGUUGCCUGACUUAACAGGAUGCUUCACAGCACGAACUGACGACGGCCAUGCACCUCCUCUCAGCUAGUCAUGCAGAGUCUUCAGCCCGGCAAUCAUUCCGCUGUCUUAUCCGGUGAGAUU